AACCUAGCACACCUGCGGUGUGUACCUGCGGAGGGAUCAUUACAGAGUUGCAAAACUCCCUAAACCAUUGUGAACGUUACCUAAACCGUUGCUUCGGCGGGCGGCCCGGGUCCUUCCCGGCGCCCAUCGGCCCUCGCGGGCGCCCGCCGGAGGUAAACCAAACUAUUGCAUUGUAUGGCCUCUCUGAGUCUUCUGUACUGAAUAAGUCAAAACUUUUAACAAUGGAUCUCAGAUCGGAAG
Molecule: unclassified non-coding RNA, 240 nt
Filed under: soil metagenome
Description: partial contains 5.8S ribosomal RNA, internal transcribed spacer 2, and large subunit ribosomal RNA
Source: RNAcentral